RNAcentral lists this ribosomal RNA (981 nucleotides) under metagenome. RNAcentral describes it as "bacterial LSU rRNA". It matches the Rfam family "Bacterial large subunit ribosomal RNA", at positions 1945 to 2925 of the family's 2925-position model. The record is from RNAcentral.
ACGGUCCUAAGGUAGCGAAAUUCCUUGUCGGGUAAGUUCCGACCUGCACGAAUGGCAUAACGAUGGCCACACUGUCUCCUCCCGAGACUCAGUGAAGUUGAAAUGUUUGUGAUGAUGCAAUCUCCCCGCGGCUAGACGGAAAGACCCCAUGAACCUUUACUGCAGCUUUGCAUUGAACUGUGAACCGAUUUGUGUAGGAUAGGUGGGAGGCAGAGAAGAGGCCACGCCAGUGGUCUUGGAGCCGACCUUGAAAUACCACCCUGAUUUGUUUGCGGUUCUAACCACGGACAGUGAUCCUGUCUUGGGACCGUGCAUGGUAGGCAGUUUGACUGGGGCGGUCUCCUCCUAAAGGGUAACGGAGGAGUACGAAGGUACGCUAGGUACGGUCGGAAAUCGUGCUGAUAGUGCAAUGGCAAAAGCGUGCUUGACUGCGAGACCGACAAGUCGAGCAGAUACGAAAGUAGGUCAUAGUGAUCCGGUGGCUCUGAAUGGAAGGGCCAUCGCUCAACGGAUAAAAGGUACUCUGGGGAUAACAGGCUGAUACCGCCCAAGAGUUCAUAUCGACGGCGGUGUUUGGCACCUCGAUGUCGGCUCAUCUCAUCCUGGGGCUGUAGCCGGUCCCAAGGGUAUGGCUGUUCGCCAUUUAAAGAGGUACGUGAGCUGGGUUUAAAACGUCGUGAGACAGUUUGGUCCCUAUCUUCUGUGGGCGUAGGAGAAUUGAAAGGGCCUGUCCCUAGUACGAGAGGACCGGGAUGGACACACCACUGGUGGACCUGUUGUCGUGCCAACGGCACAGCAGGGUAGCUAUGUGUGGAAGGGAUAACCGCUGAAAGCAUCUAAGCGGGAAGCCUGCCUUAAGAUAAGUUCUCCCUGACGCAAGUCCUGAAGGGCCGAGGUAGACGACCUCGUUGAUAGGCUGGAGGUGGAAGCCCUGUGAGGGGUGGAGCUGACCAGUACUAAUAGCCCGUGCGUCUUGUUUCU